Long non-coding RNA from Haliotis rubra (blacklip abalone), 926 nucleotides. RefSeq lists it as uncharacterized. Lineage: Eukaryota; Metazoa; Mollusca; Gastropoda; Lepetellida; Haliotidae. The transcript has 3 exons. The record is from RefSeq and is a predicted model, not a curated record.
CUGAUGCACAGGCAAUCUUCUAAUACGAGGCUGACAAGGACGAUAACGGUACAGUUAACUUUGAGGAGUUCUGUCGUCUGCACGCGGCCCACGACGUGCCUGUGGAACAACAGGAGAUGGAGAUAGUAAACUGCAUCAACAAGGUGUUCCCCGGGGACCAGGAGGAGAUCCCGCUGCGCAAGGUCCAGCAGAUCAUGGAAAAAGUCAGUCUGCAGCGUGACGAGAGCUGCCUCACAAAAGAUGAUCUCCAUACUUUGGUCACCGACCUGGACAGAAACGGCAACGGCAUGGUCGACAGAAUAGAAUUCGCAAGGAUGUUGAUUGCACGUGACAGUUCAUAGGGAGUCACGUGACGUUCCAUCUGCAGCAUUAUGUAUUCAUCAACUUCACCUUCACCUCUGGGCAAUGUCAGUUUCUGUAACAGUGCUCGGUAUCCCGAAGAGGCCCAUCGCAUACUGAACAAUAGCCACUUUCCCCUCACCAUCACAACAAUAGUUGAUAUCCCUGAGAGACCAUCACAUCCAAAACAAUAGUCGCUAUCCCGGAGAUAUCCACCACCUCCUGAAUAGUAGCCGCCAUUCCGGAGAGAUGUAUCGUAUCGUGCUAUGCUAAAGUCUAGAUUGUAAUAACUGUAUAUGCAGAAUAUUUGAAUUAUCAAAAGCUAUGGUAAUUGUUAAUUGCGUAGUAAUUGUACAGUGAAGGUCGCUUGCCAACAUUAUAUGCUCAACUGUGAAAAUCUGAAUACCAGAGUUCGACACAUAUCCAAACUGAGGUGUACCAUGUGGCUGUUGAUUAAUGUGUGCUAUAUAUAGUCCAAUAUACAGUGAUCUGUGAUAUACGCAAUGGAGUGCUAAACUGAAGUUGUAUAUGUAUGUUCCUCAACAACGGUUGUUUUGUCCUCAAAUGUGCAUUGUAGCAGACAUGGC